This 253-nucleotide ribosomal RNA is filed under the name uncultured bacterium. Its description in RNAcentral is "partial 16S ribosomal RNA". It matches the Rfam family "Bacterial small subunit ribosomal RNA", at positions 524 to 776 of the family's 1533-position model. The record is from RNAcentral.
GACGUAGGAUGCAAGCGUUGUUCGGAUUUAUUGGGCGUAAAGCGUACGUAGGCGGUUCGGUAAGUGGGAGGUUAAAGACUGGGGCUCAACCCCAGGAGUGCCCCCCAAACUGCCAGACUUGAGGUUCAUAGGGGAUGGUGGAAUUCCGAGUGUAGCGGUGAAAUGCGUAGAUAUUCGGAGGAACACCGGUGGCGAAAGCGACCAUCUGGGUGAAUCCUGACGCUGAGGUACGAAAGCUCGGGGAGCAAACGGG